UACGGAGGAUGCGAGCGUUAUCCGGAUUUAUUGGGUUUAAAGGGUGCGUAGGCGGCUUUUUAAGUCAGCGGUGAAAUUUUGCAGCUUAACUGUAACAGUGCCGUUGAUACUGGGGAGCUAGGAUUUGGUUGCUGUGGGUGGAAUGUGUGGUGUAGCGGUGAAAUGCUUAGAGAUCACACAGAAUAUCGAUUGCGAAGGCAGCUCACAAAGCCAAGAUUGACGCUGAGGCACGAAAGCGCGGGUAUCAAACAGGAUUAGA
RNAcentral lists this ribosomal RNA (259 nucleotides) under uncultured prokaryote. Its description in RNAcentral is "partial 16S ribosomal RNA". It matches the Rfam family "Bacterial small subunit ribosomal RNA", at positions 524 to 782 of the family's 1533-position model. The record is from RNAcentral.